UACGGGGGGGGCAAGCGUUGUCCGGAAUUACUGGGCGUAAAGGGCUCGUAGGUGGCCAACUACGUCAGACGUGAAAUCCCUCGGCUUAACCGGGGAACUGCGUCUGAUACUGGAUGGCUUGAGUUUGGGAGAGGGAUGCGGAAUUCCAGGUGUAGCGGUGAAAUGCGUAGAUAUCUGGAGGAACACCGGUGGCGAAGGCGGCAUCCUGGACCAACACUGACACUGAGGAGCGAAAGCCAGGGGAGCAAACGGG
RNAcentral lists this ribosomal RNA (253 nucleotides) under uncultured bacterium. RNAcentral describes it as "partial 16S ribosomal RNA". It matches the Rfam family "Bacterial small subunit ribosomal RNA", at positions 524 to 776 of the family's 1533-position model. The record is from RNAcentral.